Molecule: ribosomal RNA, 207 nt
Filed under: uncultured bacterium
Lineage: Bacteria
Description: partial 16S ribosomal RNA
Rfam family: Bacterial small subunit ribosomal RNA
Source: RNAcentral
UACGUAGGGCGCAAGCGUUGUCCGGAAUUAUUGGGCGUAAAGGGCUCGUAGGCGGUUUGUCGCGUCUGCUGUGAAAACCUAAGGCUCAACCUUGGGCUUGCAGUGGGUACGGGCAGACUAGAGUGCGGUAGGGGUGACUGGAAUUCCUGGUGUAGCGGUGGAAUGCGCAGAUAUCAGGAGGAACACCGAUGGCGAAAGGCAGGUCAC